Long non-coding RNA from Apis cerana (Asiatic honeybee), 491 nucleotides. RefSeq lists it as uncharacterized. NCBI's taxonomy places the organism in Eukaryota, Metazoa, Arthropoda, Insecta, Hymenoptera, Apidae. The record is from RefSeq and is a predicted model, not a curated record.
AACAGAACCUAAAAUAAAAUUUUAUUAAAUUUAAUUGAACCUUUUAACGUAAAAAAUAAAUACAUACCACUUUGAGAUCCAGCAUUAGUAUUCAUUGCAGCUUCUAAUGUCCAAAUAUUUUUAACAGUAGGAGGAACACCAGUUCAGAAUCAUCAACUUCAAAUCUGUACCAUUCUGAAUUCCAUUGGGGAUUAAGUGAUUUUCUACAUACAUCCGUUUUAAAUGUUAUAUUGCCAAAUUUCAAUUCGACAUAUGCAUCCGUCGUAUCACCAGAACGAUCCAUUACUGGCAGAUUGCGACCCGCCAGUAUUUUCACUUUUAUUUUGCCUGGCAUCGUGACGGAUAAUAUCUUCAAUAAAAUGCUGUAAUUAAUGUAUUAUAAUUUUUAUAAUUAUAAAAAAGAAAUUUAGACAAUAUAUUAUUAUUUUUAAUCGAACAAUGCAUUUGUUUGUAUAUAUUUUAAUAAUAAAGGUUAUGUUUUGAUAGUAUAA